UGCUGCUGUCCGUCUUCAGUCGUGCUGCACUUGCUGCUGCUGCUCUUUGUCAGCAGCAGCGUCUUCUUCGGCAACCUUUGGAGGAGGAGGAGGAGGAGGAGGACAGUGCAGGGCCUCCUGCCUCUUGCCCCACAGCAGAAGGUGGAUUGGAAUUCAGUUUCAGUGAUGGCAUGGCAUGGUAUGGUAUGGUGUCCGUACGACGUACCUUCCGAGGUAGAGCUGCUCGUGCAGGAUGGAGAAGUCGAUGACGGAGACGAUGAUCUGCACCACCGGUAUGAAGGCGGCAACGAACACGGCCCCCCUCUUCUCGAUGCACCAUGUCACCAGCACGAACGAGACGCCGCAGCCGACGAUGCCCUGAGGAAGGAGAGCAAAGCAAGCAGGUAUACAGCGUAUAGGACGGUGAGGAUGUUGAACUUGCUGGUGAUGAUCCAGGGUGAGAUGCUGCGCUGGGUG
Molecule: long non-coding RNA, 456 nt
Organism: Sorghum bicolor (sorghum)
Lineage: Eukaryota; Viridiplantae; Streptophyta; Magnoliopsida; Poales; Poaceae
Exons: 3
Source: RefSeq, a predicted model, not a curated record